CCUACGGGUGGCAGCAGUGAGGAAUAUUGGUCAAUGGACGAGAGUCUGAACCAGCCAAGUAGCGUGAAGGAUGACUGCCCUAUGGGUUGUAAACUUCUUUUAUAUGGGAAUAAAACGUUCCACGUGUGGGAUUUUGUAUGUACCAUAUGAAUAAGGAUCGGCUAACUCCGUGCCAGCAGCCGCGGUAAUACGGAGGAUCCGAGCGUUAUCCGGAUUUAUUGGGUUUAAAGGGAGCGUAGGUGGAUUGUUAAGUCAGUUGUGAAAGUUUGCGGCUCAACCGUAAAAUUGCAGUUGAAACUGGCAGUCUUGAGUACAGUAGAGGUGGGCGGAAUUCGUGGUGUAGCGGUGAAAUGCUUAGAUAUCACGAAGAACUCCGAUUGCGAAGGCAGUUCACUGGACUGCAACUGACACUGAGGCUCGAAAGUGUGGGUAUCAAACAGGAUUAAAUACCCCUGUAGUC
Molecule: ribosomal RNA, 460 nt
Filed under: uncultured bacterium
Lineage: Bacteria
Description: partial 16S ribosomal RNA
Rfam family: Bacterial small subunit ribosomal RNA
Source: RNAcentral